RNAcentral lists this ribosomal RNA (380 nucleotides) under uncultured eukaryote. RNAcentral's name for it is "partial 18S ribosomal RNA". It matches the Rfam family "Eukaryotic small subunit ribosomal RNA", at positions 592 to 976 of the family's 1831-position model. The record is from RNAcentral.
CAAUAGCGUAUAUUAAAGUUGUUGCGGUUAAAAAGCUCGUAGUUGGAUUUCUGCUGAGAACGACCGGUCCGCCCUUUGGGUGUGUAUCUGGCUCUUUCUUGGCAUCUUCUUGGUGAACGUUGCUGCACUUGACUGUGUGGAGCGCUACCCAGGACUUUUACUUUGAGGAAAUUAGAGUGUUUGCGGCAGGCAAUCGCCUUGAAUACAUUAGCAUGGAAUAAUACUAUAGGACCUUGGUUCUAUUUUGUUGGUUUCUAGAACUAAGGUAAUGAUUAAUAGGGAUAAUUGGGGGCAUUCGUAUUAACACGUCAGAGGUGAAAUUCUUGGAUUGUGUUACGACGAACUACUGCGAAAGCAUUUGCCAAGGAUGUUUUCAUUGA